UGUUAAAAUAUUCAUCCAUCUGUACUGUUAAAAAUUGGCGUAGUUGAUAAAAUAAUAAGACAGUAACACGUGACAUAUCAGUUUUAUCUCAUACUGAUGUAUAGAGACUAAUUUUCAACAAUAAAAAUAGAUAAAAUUUUUAACA
Non-coding RNA from Gossypium arboreum, 145 nucleotides. The record is from Rfam. Lineage: Eukaryota; Viridiplantae; Streptophyta; Magnoliopsida; Malvales; Malvaceae.